Molecule: ribosomal RNA, 467 nt
Filed under: uncultured bacterium
Lineage: Bacteria
Description: bacterial SSU rRNA
Rfam family: Bacterial small subunit ribosomal RNA
Source: RNAcentral
UGCCAGACUCCUACGGGAGGCAGCAGUGAGGAAUAUUGGUCAAUGGCCGAGAGGCUGAACCAGCCAAGUCGCGUGAGGGAUGACGGCCCUACGGGUUGUAAACCUCUUUUGUCGGGGAGCAAAGAGAGUCACGUGUGGCUCAUUGAGAGUACCCGAAGAAAAAGCAUCGGCUAACUCCGUGCCAGCAGCCGCGGUAAUACGGAGGAUGCGAGCGUUAUCCGGAUUUAUUGGGUUUAAAGGGUGCGCAGGCGGAGGUGCAAGUCAGUGGUCAAAUUGCGGGGCUCAACCCCGUACUGCCGUUGAAACUGCAUCCCUUGAGUGCGCGAGAAGUAUGCGGAAUGCGUGGUGUAGCGGUGAAAUGCUUAGAUAUCACGAAGAACCCCGAUUGCGAAGGCAGCUUACUAAACUGUGACUGACAUUGAUGCUCGAAAGUGUGGGUAUCAAACAGGAUUAGAUACCCCCGUACC